AGAAUGAUUCGAAAUGGAGGCAGAGGGAGCCAAGCCUGUAUUCACUCAGCCUUGCAAAGAGGAAACUUCAUUUGAAACAUACAUAACUUCCUCUGUGCCAGCUACUCAUUCCUUUUGUUUUCAACCAGCUAGCAGAUCAAAAGAAUUAAGGAGAUUAAAAAGCAGAGUGACUCAGUGACUUCAUACAUCAAAACAGGAAAGUGUUGAAUGAAACCAUUUCUAGGCAAAGUGACUACACAGAGAAGGACCAUAAAAGGCAGCUCAAGGGGAGGAAACACCUCAAGCUUGUUCCCCCUCCCCCCACCUUCUCACAUAAAAUGCAAAACCAGAUACAUGUCAGAAGAAAAACCCAGAAUAGAUGCAAAUCAAAUCCACUUAAGUUCAGAGGUCUGCAGAAUCUCGCUGGGGCAGAGGGUGUUGAGAAGGUGCAUUGCUGGCAGAUUUCCUGUCCCUUUAAAGUCUUGUGGUCUGCGCAGUCGCCUUGAUGCCUGGCUCGCCUGCCUGGAGGAGGAAAGGUCCCUAAGUGUGCUGCUGCCUUCCUGCCCCAGAAUCCUUCAUCUGGCCUGGAGUCAGGAUUUGCCAGUUUCUCUUAAUACAGGUGGAGUGUGCUUUAAGCCUGCAGAUGUGAUUUGCUUUGAACAAUGUUGAUAGACAGACUUAAUGUCAACAAGGGUUUGGGAUGUGCUAGCAAAGUAGAGCUUGCCUCUGCUAUUGCAAUGGAAAUUGCAUGCCCACAUCAGCCUAACAGUUCAAGAAAGAUGGUACUCAUGUGGAGAAUAUUCUGAAUCACAGAGGUGCCAUGGCCAACCAGCAGAUGUAUGAAUAUAAAGAUUUUUAUUUUAAGCCACUGAAUUCUGUUGUGGUUUGUUACCCAUCAUUACUUUAACAAUAGCUGACUGAUAUAACAGCAUAAUCCACAAAUAAAAAAAUUCAGAAAUAAAUCUACUACUCAACAGUAGUAUUGUUUAAGUAAACUAUGGUAUACUCACACAAUGGACAUGGGGCUAUUGAAAACAAUAUUACUGAAGAAUAUUCAUUAUAAUGGAAAAUGCUCAUAAUAUACUUGCUAAGUGAAUAUAUGAUUAUAAAAUAUUGUGCAUGAAAUGAUUUUUGGGGUAGAAAAUAUGUAUAAAUUUCUAUCUGUAUGUUAUGUAUACAUUUAUACAUAAAUUUAAAUUUUUCUACAAGAAAGAUUAAAAAGGUUAGGACCAAAAUAUU
Molecule: long non-coding RNA, 1218 nt
Filed under: Canis lupus familiaris (dog)
Lineage: Eukaryota; Metazoa; Chordata; Mammalia; Carnivora; Canidae
Description: lncRNA (ENSCAFG00040000160.1)
Source: RNAcentral